RNAcentral lists this transfer RNA (69 nucleotides) under Dipodomys ordii (Ord's kangaroo rat). It matches the Rfam family "tRNA". Rfam says of the family: Transfer RNA (tRNA) molecules are approximately 80 nucleotides in length. Their secondary structure includes four short double-helical elements and three loops (D, anti-codon, and T loops). Further hydrogen bonds mediate the characteristic L-shaped molecular structure. tRNAs have two regions of fundamental functional importance: the anti-codon, which is responsible for specific mRNA codon recognition, and the 3' end, to which the tRNAs corresponding amino acid is attached (by aminoacyl-tRNA synthetases). tRNAs cope with the degeneracy of the genetic code in two manners: having more than one tRNA (with a specific anti-codon) for a particular amino acid; and 'wobble' base-pairing, i.e. permitting non-standard base-pairing at the 3rd anti-codon position. The record is from Rfam by way of RNAcentral. Lineage: Eukaryota; Metazoa; Chordata; Mammalia; Rodentia; Heteromyidae.
GGAAAGGUGGCUUAGUGGUAGAGCACUUGCCUUGUAUGCAAGAAGUCCUGGGUUCGAUACCUCAUACCA